AUACGGGAGGCAGCAGUGGGGAAUAUUGGACAAUGGGCGCAAGCCUGAUCCAGCAAUACCGCGUGUGUGAAGAAGGCCUGAGGGUUGUAAAGCACUUUCAGCGAGGAGGAAGGGUGCGAUGUUAAUAGCAUUGUAUUUUGACGUUACUCGCAGAAGAAGCACCGGCUAACUCUGUGCCAGCAGCCGCGGUAAUACAGAGGGUGCAAGCGUUAAUCGGAAUUACUGGGCGUAAAGCGUGCGCAGGCGGAUAAUUAAGUCAGAUGUGAAAGCCCCGGGCUCAACCUGGGAAUGGCAUCUGAAACUGGUCAUCUAGAGUAUGGUAGAGGAUAGUGGAAUUUCCGGUGUAGCGGUGAAAUGCGUAGAUAUCGGAAGGAACACCAGUGGCGAAGGCGACUAUCUGGGCCAAUACUGACGCUGAGGUACGAAAGCGUGGGUAGCGAACAGGAUUAGAAACCCUUGUAGUCC
RNAcentral lists this ribosomal RNA (465 nucleotides) under uncultured bacterium. RNAcentral describes it as "bacterial SSU rRNA". It matches the Rfam family "Bacterial small subunit ribosomal RNA", at positions 339 to 796 of the family's 1533-position model. The record is from RNAcentral.